Molecule: ribosomal RNA, 776 nt
Filed under: uncultured bacterium
Lineage: Bacteria
Description: bacterial SSU rRNA
Rfam family: Bacterial small subunit ribosomal RNA
Source: RNAcentral
AGAGUUUGAUCCUGGCUCAGGACGAACGCUGGCGGCGUGCUUAACACAUGCAAGUCGAGCGGUAAGGCCUCUUCGGGGGUACACGAGCGGCGAACGGGUGAGUAACACGUGGGUGACCUGCCCUCAGCUCUGGGAUAAGCCUGGGAAACUGGGUCUAAUACCGGAUAUGACCUUUCCUCGCAUGGGGUUUGGUGGAAAGUUUUUUCGGCUGGGGAUGGGCCCGCGGCCUAUCAGCUUGUUGGUGGGGUGAUGGCCUACCAAGGCGACGACGGGUAGCCGGCCUGAGAGGGCGACCGGCCACACUGGGACUGAGACACGGCCCAGACUCCUACGGGAGGCAGCAGUGGGGAAUAUUGCGCAAUGGGCGGAAGCCUGACGCAGCGACGCCGCGUGGGGGAUGACGGCCUUCGGGUUGUAAACCUCUUUCGGCCUUGACGAAGCCUUCGGGUGACGGUAGGGGUAGAAGAAGCACCGGCCAACUACGUGCCAGCAGCCGCGGUAAUACGUAGGGUGCGAGCGUUGUCCGGAAUUAUUGGGCGUAAAGAGCUCGUAGGCGGUCUGUCGCGUCGGUCGUGAAAACUUGGGGCUUAACCCUGAGCUUGCGGUCGAUACGGGCAUGACUGGAGUUCGGCAGGGGAGACUGGAAUUCCUGGUGUAGCGGUGAAAUGCGCAGAUAUCAGGAGGAACACCGGUGGCGAAGGCGGGUCUCUGGGCCGAUACUGACGCUGAGGAGCGAAAGCGUGGGGAGCGAACAGGAUUAGAUACCCUGGUAGUCC